UGGUAGCCCCCAGCCUCCUUCUCCACCUUCUCGGCAUGAGAAAUGGAAGUUGGCUCGUAUGAAACCAUCGGACAUCUACUCUUCUGACACUGCACGGGAAAUCUCUGAAAGAAUUGUAAGUUAUCACUGUUCCUAAAAUAAUAAUAAUUUCAUUAUGCAUACUACAUCGAACUUUUUAAAGAAUAAUGGUGUUUUGUAAUGUUACAGGACUCCUUGGUUGAGCAGAGCUCCAAGGUCAAUUCAUUCUAGAGGGUCGC
This 257-nucleotide long non-coding RNA is filed under the name Vigna radiata. Its description in RNAcentral is "long non-coding RNA (VRAD_LNC002732)". The record is from RNAcentral. Lineage: Eukaryota; Viridiplantae; Streptophyta; Magnoliopsida; Fabales; Fabaceae.